CACACACACACACACACACAUACACACACACACAUACAUUUCCCUCCCAUCCCACUCCAAAUUCCCACCAGGAGUUCAGCUUCUAAACAGCUCCUUAGCCUUGUCUGGUGUACUUCAACUUUCCAAGGUUCCGGACUUUCUCUCCUAUAUUGAGUAUUAGUGGACUGUUUUCCCCCCACCCUUCACUCACCUCCCAAAGAAGUAAUUUUUUUCUGAUUGUGUCCCAAGUCAUGAAACUGUGUGAACCACCACUUCCCACAAAUCCACCAUCUUUUUUUCUCUUACUCAUUCUCAGUAUUCAGAUACUUUAGCUCCAUUAUUCUAAUGUAGUCAGAAAAAAAUAGAAUAAAACAAAGCAUCUAAGAAAUAGGAACUUCAGCAGAUUAAGAGAUGACAGGCUUUGGUUUUGUAUGCAACACAGCAGCUCUGAUUACUGACAUUUACCCAUAGAGGCAUGCGGUGGUUAACAGGUAGUUGCAAAAGAAAACCACAGUAGCAGAGGCAAAAGACAAAGCUAUGGCGACAUUCCUUCUUUAGGCUUAGUGCAGUAAAAGACCCUAAGCUUCUUGAGCAAAGAGUCCCGAGGCUGUUAACAAGUUCGUGCCAGAAAGAAAAGUUGACUACACUCUGCGAUAGAAUUGCACCAACUCUGUUUCCUUGAUGUACCCCAAACAUGCUUAUGUAUAAGUAUGGUCCUUUGGGAACCAUCUCUUUGGCCCAUGGAACCACUAAUAAAAUGUUGCUUUCAGA
Molecule: long non-coding RNA, 750 nt
Filed under: Marmota monax (woodchuck)
Lineage: Eukaryota; Metazoa; Chordata; Mammalia; Rodentia; Sciuridae
Source: RNAcentral